RNAcentral lists this long non-coding RNA (1271 nucleotides) under Struthio camelus australis. RNAcentral's name for it is "lncRNA (ENSSCUG00000009544.1)". The record is from RNAcentral. Lineage: Eukaryota; Metazoa; Chordata; Aves; Struthioniformes; Struthionidae.
UCUCAGGACCCCGAGCAAGUCGUUUCGGUGAGGUGAAGCCGCGUGAACUAGGGGGUUUCUCUGCUGUGGGCUCCUCCAGCGUGCAAACGCUUGGUUACCGGCGCUGGCAACGGAGAGAGACGGGAAGCCUGGCUUCGGCGCAUGGGUUUCUGGGAUGACUCAUCUCAUGGCCAGGCUUACAGCUGUGGUGAAUAAGGCGGUGGGUGAGGGAGCACAGCCGGGCCCGGAGUGCUGCCCCUUUCCCGAAAAUCCCUUGCCGUCUAGCGCGGGGCAGGCACUGCCGCAGCCCGCGCCUGCAGACGCUCUCCUGGGUCGUCCAGGGCGGUUUUCUGCUGUCGGACAUGGUCCCUCUCAACAAGCGACUGAAGGCCCGUCUUAAAACCAGCUACUAAAAAAAAUAAAAAAAAACCCCAAAGACUAAUUGCUUUUUGCUCUUACUGUUGCUAUUAGCAAGAUGAAUGUCAUUCCUUGGGAAUGACAGCUUGGUCUCAGCAUUCGGUGAUACAUGUGUGCGAGCCAGAAAUACAAUGUUUCAAGAAAAAAAAAUUAUUAUCCUGCUUCAGCUUGUGCGUUUCAGUAGUUGCUUUAUUUAGAUGUGAACACCCCUAGAUUGUAAUCUGCAGUCAAAGCCAGCAGUGAAACUGGUUAUAUGUCAUUGUCUAAAUUCCAGUUAAGUUCCUGUGCCUUGUUGUAACACAGAUUACACAGAACCCAUAUAUUUACACAGGUUAGUACAAGAAAAGCAACUGUCAUUGAAGGAGUUGUUAUGAAAGCGUGACAGAAACUCAACCCAUCAGCCACCUCGGAAAACCAUCCUUUCCUCUGGGGAAGCGUAGUCUCCGUCCUUAUCAAGGCCCAAAGUUUAUCAAUCCCAUAGACUGCAGGCUUUGCCUGCAAUUAAAUGUUCAAAGCACGCGCACUGAGCCUGUAUGAUGUCAGGUGAACGAUACCCGCGGUGAAUGCCCUCGUUCCACAGACCUGGAACUUGGAACGCCCUGUCCGCCACUGCCUCUCCUCAACACAAAGGGAGAGAAAUUCCGUCACCUAUGAGGAAAAUCUUGCAAGAUCUUUUUGGUGCUGAUCAUGUUUUCUUCAUCAAAAUCUGUAACCAUGCAGUCAUUUUGUGCAUGUUCUUUUUAUCCAUGUACUACUCAGGAGCUGUGGUGUGUGGCACAGCACCUGCUGCUUCAGGCAGGUCCCCAGCCAAGACCCGUUGGCUGGAGAUGAUAGGUACAUGGGAUUUGGAAUGUGGCCUGUUGAAAUUACACUGC